Molecule: non-coding RNA, 103 nt
Filed under: Sphingobium sp. CECT 9361
Lineage: Bacteria; Pseudomonadati; Pseudomonadota; Alphaproteobacteria; Sphingomonadales; Sphingobiaceae
Description: Glycine
Rfam family: Glycine riboswitch aptamer
About the family: This family represents the bacterial glycine riboswitch.
Source: RNAcentral
GGGCAUGAUACGGGAGAGUGUCGCUGCGGGGUAAAAGCCGGAGCGACCGCCGAAGGAGCAACCGCCCCGGAAUCUCUCAGGCGACAAGGACCGUCUCAUGUUC